RNAcentral lists this ribosomal RNA (245 nucleotides) under uncultured bacterium. RNAcentral describes it as "partial 16S ribosomal RNA". It matches the Rfam family "Bacterial small subunit ribosomal RNA", at positions 15 to 252 of the family's 1533-position model. The record is from RNAcentral.
GAUCAUGGCUCAGGAUGAACGCUAGCUACAGGCUUAACACAUGCAAGUCGAGGGGCAUCAGGAAGAAAGCUUGCUUUCUUUGCUGGCGACCAGCGCACGGGUGAGUAACACGUAUCCAACCUACCAGUUUACUCGGGGAUAGCCUUUCGAAAGAAAGAUUAAUACCCGAUGGCAUAAUGAUUCCGCAUGGUUUCAUUAUUAAAGAUUCCGGUAAAGGAUGGGGAUGCGUUCCAUUAGGUUGUUGG